RNAcentral lists this ribosomal RNA (262 nucleotides) under uncultured archaeon. RNAcentral's name for it is "partial 16S ribosomal RNA". It matches the Rfam family "Archaeal small subunit ribosomal RNA", at positions 718 to 982 of the family's 1478-position model. The record is from RNAcentral.
AGUCACUGACAUUAGAUACCCUGUAGUCCUAACUGUAAACGAUGCGGACUUGGUGUUGGGUGGCUUUGAGCUGCUUCAGUGCCGAAGAGAAAUCGUGAAACGCACCACCUGGGAAGUACGGUCGCAAGGCUGAAACUUAAAGGAAUUGGCGGGGAGCACCACAACAGGUGGAGCCUGCGGUUUAAUUGGAUUCAACGCCGGACAUCUCACCGGAUAAGACAGCUGAAUGAUUGUCAAUCUGAAGGUUUUACAUGACUAGCUG